This is a non-coding RNA of Irineochytrium annulatum, 83 nucleotides long. Lineage: Eukaryota; Fungi; Chytridiomycota; Chytridiomycetes; Chytridiales; Chytridiaceae. The record is from the annotation of a GenBank genome assembly.
GCACAGAUGGCCGAGCUGGUCUAAGGCGUGUGACUCAAGUUCACAUAUCGUAAGAUGCGUGGGUUCGAAUCCCACUCUGUGCA